Molecule: long non-coding RNA, 343 nt
Organism: Carassius auratus (goldfish)
Lineage: Eukaryota; Metazoa; Chordata; Actinopteri; Cypriniformes; Cyprinidae
Exons: 3
Source: RefSeq, a predicted model, not a curated record
GUCGGAGAGCAACGGGAUGAGCAACAGUCUGAGUGAAAACCUUCACAUUUCUAUUUCGAUCUUAAGAAAGCCAUACAGGUUUGGAACCAAGUGAAAACGCAGUGAUGACCAGCUUUCCAUCAGCUAUGGAAUGUGAAAUAAAAAAUGCUAUUUCUAAUCAUUUCAAACAAGCACCAGGGAGGGCAGGGGGUGGGGGUUAUGGAUCUAAAGUAAACAGUUAAUUCUUAAAAAUUAAUUGUUUUACAUAUUUUUCCAAUGUUUUAUUUGUUCAUUUUUAUGGUUGAAUGUUGUCCAAGUUGUUGUUGUCUAUAUAAUUGUUCAAAAUAAAUCCCUUUAUAUUCAA